RNAcentral lists this ribosomal RNA (1381 nucleotides) under Bouchetitrochus caledonicus. RNAcentral's name for it is "16S ribosomal RNA". It matches the Rfam family "Bacterial large subunit ribosomal RNA", at positions 566 to 2759 of the family's 2925-position model. The record is from RNAcentral. Lineage: Eukaryota; Metazoa; Mollusca; Gastropoda; Pleurotomariida; Pleurotomariidae.
ACUGGUAUUUUGUUAGAGGGAGAUAUUUGUGUCGUAAGGUUGGUUGAAACAUCUUUUUGUUUAGUAUUGUUGAUAGAAUGACUUGAAUUUUGAAAUGUUUAAUAAGUACUGAUAAGGAAAGUUGAGUUUUAAGCUAAUGAAAGUAAAGGCGAGAUCUUGUACCUUUUGUAUAAUGGUUUAUCUAGGGUUGAGAAAUAUAUUUUGUUUCCCGAAAUUGAGUGAUCUACUUAUUGGCUUUUGGCUUCAGUGUUGCAAAACUGUGCUUAGACUCGUGAGUAGGGGUGAGAUUCCUGUCGUACUUGAUGAUAGCUGGUUGGCUAGUAAAAAUAUAGAAGUAUUGGGUUUGCAGUUUACUGCGGUAGUUUGUUUAUUUCGGUAACGGUGAGUACUCGGACUAGAGAGGAUAAGCUCUUUAGUAGNNNNNNNNNNNNNNNNNUGAAGAAGCUGUUGGUUUGUGGGCUUAGGAUUGGCCACCAUUCGAGAUUUUGUUAUAAAUCGCUGUAAUUGUGUUUUUCUUAAAUUAAUAUAUUUUCCUAAUUGUGUUAUUAGCUUUCUAGGGGUAACUGUUGUUAUCUUAGUUGUUUCUGUUAGAAUGAGUAUUUUUAAGAAGUUGGUUGUUUUGAUUAUUUAGAGGAAGUGGAUGAUCGGGGAAUUGACGGAUAUUGAAAUAUAGAAAAGGAAUUCGGCAAAAAUUUGCUUCGCCUGUUUAUCNAAAACAUGUCUCUUCGUUUUUUUGAUAUGGGGAGUCUGGCCUGCCCGGUGACUAAUGAGUUAAACGGCCGCGGUACUUUGACCGUGCAAAGGUAGCAUAAUCAUUUGCCUCUUAAUUGGGGGGCUGGUAUGAAUGGCUUGACGAAAGCAUGUCUGUCUCUUUUAUAUUUUCUAGAAAUUGAUUUUCAGGUGAAAAAAGCCUGGAUUUACCUAAAAGACAAGAAGANNNNNNNNNNNNNNNNNNNNNNNNNNNNNNNNNNNUCAAGCUCAACAGGGUCUUCUUGUCNUUUUAUUUGUUUUUGGUUGGGGCGACCUAGGAACAGAUAAAGCUUCCUUAAGGAGUUUGUAGACUGUCGGGUCUGGAUCCGCUAUGUAGUGAUUGAAGGAAAUAGCUACCACAGGGAUAACAGCGUGAUCCUCUUUGAGAGUUCUUAUUGAAAAGGGGGGUUGCGACCUCGAUGUUGGACUAGGGUUUCCAGAAGGUGGAGAAGUUUUUUAGGUUAGUCUGUUCGACUAUUAAAACCCUACAUGAUCUGAGUUCAGACCGGCGUGAGCCAGGUCGGUUUCUAUCUUUAGUUUGUAAGAUGUCUUUGGUUAGUACGAAAGGACCGCUCUAGGCUAAAUAAUUUGGUGUUUAAUGUGUGUUAAUAAUUUGGAGUUAAAAAUUGUU